UGAAUAAUCGCUUCCAGAAGUACUCAGUAAUAUAACUUAUUUUUAUUUUAAUCUAACGGAAAAUUCUGAUGUUAAUGAUAUGGCAAAAGCUGAGUCUUAUGGAGAUUUCAUAAUAGAAAAAAUGGAAGAAUACUUCAAAAGAUUGCCAGAGGUUACAGAUGACAUGAAGAAUUUGAUUUUGUAUCUUUUUAACUUGGUACAAGGAUCUUCUGAUGGCUCUGAUGAUUGGACGAAACUUUCACCUAAGAUGCCAAGAGAUUACCCAGUUUGUAAAGGCGAUUUUUCGAUUAAUUGGAAAGAGUCCACUUAUACUACAAUAUUGGAUAUCCUGAUGAAGAAAUAUCCGAAUCCGACAGAAGAACUACCAGUUUUGAAUAAUACGAUUUUAAAUUCAAAAGUUGUUAAAAUAAAUUAUGAUUCAUCAGAUGCACCAGUUGAAAUAACUACUGAAGAGGGUAAAAAAUAUUUAGCUGAUCAUAUUAUUGUAAUGCCGUCUUUAGGAGUUUUAAAAGCUGAUUAUGAAAAAUUGUUCAAUCCGCCUUUACCAGAUAAAAAAAUUAAUGCUAUUCAAAACCAGUUCAUGAUGCAAGAGUAAUUAUUGUUGGGUCAGGAGCAGCAGGUAUAGCCACUGCGUCGAAAUUGCUUCAAAAUGGCUUUACUGAUAUCAAAAUUAUUGAAGCUGAGAACCGAAUUGGUGGUCGGCUUUGGGCAGUUAAAAUCGAAGUAUACGAUAACAAAUCA
RNAcentral lists this unclassified non-coding RNA (741 nucleotides) under Cotesia glomerata. RNAcentral describes it as "uncharacterized LOC123262474, transcript variant X5". The record is from RNAcentral. Lineage: Eukaryota; Metazoa; Arthropoda; Insecta; Hymenoptera; Braconidae.